Molecule: ribosomal RNA, 460 nt
Filed under: uncultured bacterium
Lineage: Bacteria
Description: partial 16S ribosomal RNA
Rfam family: Bacterial small subunit ribosomal RNA
Source: RNAcentral
CCUACGGGUGGCAGCAGUGAGGAAUAUUGGUCAAUGGGCGCGAGCCUGAACCAGCCAAGUAGCGUGAAGGAUGACUGCACUACGGGGUGUAAACUUCUUUUAUAAAGGAAUAAAGUGAGGCACGUGAGCAUUUUGGUAUGUACUUUAAGAAUAAGGAUAGGCUAAAUCCGUGCCAGAAGCAGCGGGAAUACGGAGGAUCCGAGCGUUAUCCGGAUUUAUUGUGUUUAAAGGGAGCGUAGAUGGGUUGUUAAGUCAGUUGUGAAAGUUUGCGGUUCAACCGUAAAAUUGCAAUUGAUACUGGCAGUCUUGAGUACAGUUGAGGUAGGCGGAAUUCGUGGUGUAGCGGUGAAAUGCUUAGAUAUCACGAAGAACUCCGAUUGCGAAGGCAGCUUACUAAACUGCCACUGACAUUGAUGCUCGAAAGUGUGGGUAUCAAACAGGAUUAGAUACCCGUGUAGUC